AGGGCAUGUAUGACGGACUUCUAAUCCUGUAAAUCCUUUUGGAGUGCCUUU
RNAcentral lists this transfer RNA (51 nucleotides) under Rhizoglyphus robini. RNAcentral's name for it is "tRNA-Ser". Lineage: Eukaryota; Metazoa; Arthropoda; Arachnida; Sarcoptiformes; Acaridae. The record is from RNAcentral.